UGAGCAAUCUGCCCUUCACUUCGGGAUAACUCCGGGAAACCGGUGCUAAUACCGAAUACGACCACCUCAGGCAUCUGAUGGUGGUGGAAAGUUCCGGCGGUGAAGGAUGAGCUCGCGGCCUAUCAGCUUGUUGGUGGGGUAAUGGCCCACCAAGGCAACGACGAGUAGCCGGCCUGAGAGGGUGACCGGCCACACGUGGGACUGAGACACGGCCCAGACUCCGUACGGGA
This 230-nucleotide ribosomal RNA is filed under the name uncultured bacterium. RNAcentral describes it as "partial 16S ribosomal RNA". It matches the Rfam family "Bacterial small subunit ribosomal RNA", at positions 118 to 346 of the family's 1533-position model. The record is from RNAcentral.